This 355-nucleotide RNase P RNA is filed under the name Alphaproteobacteria bacterium. Its description in RNAcentral is "RNase P RNA component class A". It matches the Rfam family "Bacterial RNase P class A". Rfam says of the family: Ribonuclease P (RNase P) is a ubiquitous endoribonuclease, found in archaea, bacteria and eukarya as well as chloroplasts and mitochondria. Its best characterised activity is the generation of mature 5'-ends of tRNAs by cleaving the 5'-leader elements of precursor-tRNAs. The record is from RNAcentral. Lineage: Bacteria; Pseudomonadati; Pseudomonadota; Alphaproteobacteria.
AUGAAAGAUUGGAUGGCUGCUUGUGCUUUUGGGUAUGAGAGGAAAGUCCGGGCUUCAUGGAAAUAGGACGCCGGCUAACGGCCGGGCAGUUUUUAACUGACAGACAGUGCAACAGAGAGCAAACCGCCUUUUCGAAGGUAAGGGUGAAAGGGUGCGGUAAGAGCGCACCGCGUAUCUGGUAACAGAUGCGGCACGGCAAACCUCGUCCGAAGCAAGGCCAAAUAGGGAUCGCUUAUGGUGCAUUUCCACACCGCGAUCCGGGUAGGUCGCUAGAGCGGCUUGGCAACAAGCCGCCCAGAUGAAUAGCCAUCGCCCCUUUGGGGUACAGAACCCGGCUUAUAGAUCUUUCAAGUGU